This 465-nucleotide ribosomal RNA is filed under the name Vreelandella stevensii. RNAcentral's name for it is "partial 16S ribosomal RNA". It matches the Rfam family "Bacterial small subunit ribosomal RNA", at positions 338 to 795 of the family's 1533-position model. The record is from RNAcentral. Lineage: Bacteria; Pseudomonadati; Pseudomonadota; Gammaproteobacteria; Oceanospirillales; Halomonadaceae.
CCUACGGGGGGCUGCAGUGGGGAAUAUUGGACAAUGGGCGAAAGCCUGAUCCAGCCAUGCCGCGUGUGUGAAGAAGGCCUUCGGGUUGUAAAGCACUUUCAGUGGGGAAGAAAGCCUUGGGGCCAAUACCCUCGAGGAAGGACAUCACCCACAGAAGAAGCACCGGCUAACUCCGUGCCAGCAGCCGCGGUAAUACGGAGGGUGCGAGCGUUAAUCGGAAUUACUGGGCGUAAAGCGCGCGUAGGCGGUCUGAUAAGCCGGUUGUGAAAGCCCCGGGCUCAACCUGGGAACGGCAUCCGGAACUGUCAGGCUAGAGUGCAGGAGAGGAAGGUAGAAUUCCCGGUGUAGCGGUGAAAUGCGUAGAGAUCGGGAGGAAUACCAGUGGCGAAGGCGGCCUUCUGGACUGACACUGACGCUGAGGUGCGAAAGCGUGGGUAGCAAACAGGAUUAGAUACCCGAGUAGUC